RNAcentral lists this ribosomal RNA (939 nucleotides) under Streptomyces sp. RNAcentral describes it as "bacterial SSU rRNA". It matches the Rfam family "Bacterial small subunit ribosomal RNA", at positions 85 to 1036 of the family's 1533-position model. Lineage: Bacteria; Bacillati; Actinomycetota; Actinomycetes; Kitasatosporales; Streptomycetaceae. The record is from RNAcentral.
GUGGGGAUUAGUGGCGAACGGGUGAGUAACACGUGGGCAAUCUGCCCUUCACUCUGGGACAAGCCCUGGAAACGGGGUCUAAUACCGGAUACAACACUCUCGGGCAUCCGAUGAGUGUGGAAAGCUCCGGCGGUGAAGGAUGAGCCCGCGGCCUAUCAGCUUGUUGGUGAGGUAACGGCUCACCAAGGCGACGACGGGUAGCCGGCCUGAGAGGGCGACCGGCCACACUGGGACUGAGACACGGCCCAGACUCCUACGGGAGGCAGCAGUGGGGAAUAUUGCACAAUGGGCGAAAGCCUGAUGCAGCGACGCCGCGUGAGGGAUGACGGCCUUCGGGUUGUAAACCUCUUUCAGCAGGGAAGAAGCGAAAGUGACGGUACCUGCAGAAGAAGCGCCGGCUAACUACGUGCCAGCAGCCGCGGUAAUACGUAGGGCGCGAGCGUUGUCCGGAAUUAUUGGGCGUAAAGAGCUCGUAGGCGGUCUGUCGCGUCGGAUGUGAAAGCCCGGGGCUUAACCCCGGGUCUGCAUUCGAUACGGGCAGACUAGAGUGUGGUAGGGGAGAUCGGAAUUCCUGGUGUAGCGGUGAAAUGCGCAGAUAUCAGGAGGAACACCGGUGGCGAAGGCGGAUCUCUGGGCCAUUACUGACGCUGAGGAGCGAAAGCGUGGGGAGCGAACAGGAUUAGAUACCCUGGUAGUCCACGCCGUAAACGGUGGGAACUAGGUGUUGGCGACAUUCCACGUCGUCGGUGCCGCAGCUAACGCAUUAAGUUCCCCGCCUGGGGGAGUACGGCCGCAAGGCUAAAACUCAAAGSAAUUGACGGGGGCCCGCACAAGCAGCGGAGCAUGUGGCUUAAUUCGACGCAACGCGAAGAACCUUACCAAGGCUUGACAUACACCGGAAACGGCCAGAGAUGGUCGCCCCCUUGUGGUCGGUGUACA